This 253-nucleotide ribosomal RNA is filed under the name uncultured bacterium. RNAcentral's name for it is "partial 16S ribosomal RNA". It matches the Rfam family "Bacterial small subunit ribosomal RNA", at positions 524 to 776 of the family's 1533-position model. The record is from RNAcentral.
UACGGAGGAUGCAAGCGUUAUCCGGAAUUAUUGGGCGUAAAGCGUCUGCAGGCGGCAAUUUAAGUCUGCUGUUAAAGGUUCUGGCUCAACCAGAAACAGGCAGUGGAAACUGAGCAGCUAGAGUGCUGUAGGGGCAGAGGGAAUUCCCAGUGUAGCGGUGAAAUGCGUAGAGAUUGGGAAGAACACCGGUGGCGAAAGCGCUCUGCUAGACCGUAACUGACACUCAUGGACGAAAGCUAGGGGAGCGAAUGGG